AAAUCUUGACAUCCUUUGAAAACUCUAGAGAUAGAGCUUUCCCCUUCGGGGGACAAAGUGACAGGUGGUGCAUGGUUGUCGUCAGCUCGUGUCGUGAGAUGUUGGGUUAAGUCCCGCAACGAGCGCAACCCUUAAGCUUAGUUGCCAUCAUUAAGUUGGGCACUCUAGGUUGACUGCCGGUGACAAACCGGAGGAAGGUGGGGAUGACGUCAAAUCAUCAUGCCCCUUAUGAUUUGGGCUACACACGUGCUACAAUGGACAAUACAAAGGGCAGCUAAACCGCGAGGUCAUGCAAAUCCCAUAAAGUUGUUCUCAGUUCGGAUUGUAGUCUGCAACUCGACUACAUGAAGCUGGAAUCGCUAGUAAUCGUAGAUCAGCAUGCUACGGUGAAUACGUUCCCGGGUCUUGUACACACCGCCCGUCACACCACGAGAGUUUGUAACACCCGAAGCCGGUGGAGUAACCAUUUAUGGAGCUAGCCGUCGAAGGUGGGACAAAUGAUUGGGGUGAAGUCGUAACAAGGUAGCCGUAUCGGAAGGUGCGGCUGGAUCACCUC
RNAcentral lists this ribosomal RNA (556 nucleotides) under uncultured bacterium. Its description in RNAcentral is "bacterial SSU rRNA". It matches the Rfam family "Bacterial small subunit ribosomal RNA", at positions 976 to 1529 of the family's 1533-position model. The record is from RNAcentral.